GAGUUUGAUUAUGGCUCAGAUUGAACGCUGGCGGCAGGCUUAACACAUGCAAGUCGAACGAUGAUUACUAGCUUGCUAGUAUGAUUAGUGGCGAACGGGUGAGUAAUGCUUAGGAAUCUGCCUAUUAGUGGGGGACAACAUUCCGAAAGGAAUGCUAAUACCGCAUACGUCCUACGGGAGAAAGCAGGGGAUCUUUUGACCUUGCGCUAAUAGAUGAGCCUAAGUCGGAUUAGCUAGUUGGUGGGGUAAAGGCCUACCAAGGCGACGAUCUGUAGCUGGUCUGAGAGGAUGAUCAGCCACACUGGGACUGAGACACGGCCCAGACUCCUACGGGAGGCAGCAGUGGGGAAUAUUGGACAAUGGGCGAAAGCCUGAUCCAGCCAUGCCGCGUGUGAAGAAGGCCUUUUGGUUGUAAAGCACUUUAAGUGGGGAGGAAAAGCUAAUAAUUAAUACCCUAUAG
RNAcentral lists this ribosomal RNA (460 nucleotides) under Moraxella sp. canine oral taxon 017. Its description in RNAcentral is "bacterial SSU rRNA". It matches the Rfam family "Bacterial small subunit ribosomal RNA", at positions 9 to 467 of the family's 1533-position model. Lineage: Bacteria; Pseudomonadati; Pseudomonadota; Gammaproteobacteria; Moraxellales; Moraxellaceae. The record is from RNAcentral.